Molecule: ribosomal RNA, 432 nt
Filed under: uncultured bacterium
Lineage: Bacteria
Description: partial 16S ribosomal RNA
Rfam family: Bacterial small subunit ribosomal RNA
Source: RNAcentral
AGCGAACGCUGGCGGCAGGCCUAACACAUGCAAGUCGAACGAACUCUUCGGAGUUAGUGGCGGACGGGUGAGUAACACGUGGGAACGUGCCUUUGGUUCGGAAUAACUCAGGGAAACUUGUGCUAAUACCGAAUGUGCCCUUCGGGGGAAAGAUUUAUCGCCAUUAGGGCGGCCCGCGUCUGAUUAGCUAGUUGGUGAGGUAACGGCUCACCAAGGCGACGAUCAGUAGCUGGUUUGAGAGGAUGACCAGCCACACUGGGACUGAGACACGGCCCAGACUCCUACGGGAGGCAGCAGUGGGGAAUCUUGCGCAAUGGGCGAAAGCCUGACGCAGCCAUGCCGCGUGAAUGAUGAAGGUCUUAGGAUUGUAAAAUUCUUUCACCGGGGACGAUAAUGACGGUACCCGGAGAAGAAGCCCCGGCUAACUUCGUG